CAGUAGCCGCGGGAAUACGUAGGUGGCAAGCGUUGUCCGGAAUUAUUGGGCGUAAAGGGCUCGCAGGCGGUUUCUUAAGUCUGAUGUGAAAGCCCCCGGCUCAACCGGGGAGGGUCAUUGGAAACUGGGAAACUUGAGUGCAGAAGAGGAGAGUGGAAUUCCACGUGUAGCGGUGAAAUGCGUAGAGAUGUGGAGGAACACCAGUGGCGAAGGCGACUCUCUGGUCUGUAACUGACGCUGAGGAGCGAAAGCGUGGGGAGCGAACAGGAUUAGAUACCCCCGUAGUCCCUGUCUCUUAUAC
RNAcentral lists this ribosomal RNA (301 nucleotides) under uncultured bacterium. RNAcentral describes it as "partial 16S ribosomal RNA". It matches the Rfam family "Bacterial small subunit ribosomal RNA", at positions 509 to 807 of the family's 1533-position model. The record is from RNAcentral.